Molecule: ribosomal RNA, 253 nt
Filed under: uncultured bacterium
Lineage: Bacteria
Description: partial 16S ribosomal RNA
Rfam family: Bacterial small subunit ribosomal RNA
Source: RNAcentral
UACGUAGGUGACCAGCGUUGUCCGGAUUUACUGGGCGUAAAGAGCGCGCAGGCGGUCGUUCAAGUCGAGUGUGAAAGCCCCCGGCUCAACUGGGGAGGGUCAUUCGAUACUGAUCGACUGGAAGGCAGGAGAGGGAAGCGGAAUUCCCGGUGUAGUGGUGAAAUGCGUAGAUAUUGGGAGGAACACCAGUGGCGAAGGCGGCUCACUGGACCGGAACUGACGCUGAGGCGCGAAAGCGUGGGGAGCAAACGGG